CUAGCCUAGCCACACUGCCCUCCCCCUUGCGUUUUUUAAUUAGCACAUCUCAGCAUUGCACUCAACUCUAACAUGCAUGAGCUGAAGGCUCCGAUUUGAUGCUGCGCUAUUCUACUGCUUCUCAUUGAAACAUCUCCAUUUGGGGCAAUGUGGAUGGCUCAUUCUAAAAUCUUUACAUUGCCAAAAAAGGAAAAAAAAAAUUGUGCAUGCCCGCUAGCAUGCCUGAGACACUAAUGAGAAAGGGGGGCCCAUCUCCAUUUCAGCAGAAGCAGGCUGGGCUGAAAGAGCUAGCGCUCUUUAUAUAGAGACACUUCAAAACACGUCGGAGGCCCGUAUGGAGUGAUGGUGCAAGAGGUGUGGGGGUUCCCCUCAGGGGGUCCGUCUGACCCAACAGAGCCACAAAGCAGCUCUCUCAGGCCCGGUCCAGCCUCCCUUUCAGGUCUGGGAUGGUGCCUAUUCCAGAGGAGUAUAGCAUAAAGAGGGCCUAGACGGAUCUGCAACACAAAGAGGAAUGUCUGGAGCAUGCAACCCAUGUCUAAUGUCAACAGUGCUCUGAGCUACAAAAUACAGACAAAGUUACCACUUUAAAACUUCAUUUUCCCAGAGGGCACAACAGCUGGGAGAUGUGACACACAUUUCGAAUCAUGUUUGAUUAAUAAAAGAUGGAAAUGGAGUGUAAUCCUGUUCAGUUUCCAAAUGGGCUGGGGAGUCAGAACAAAGGAGAUGACACCAAGGAGAGAUCACAUGGAUAAGGAGCAGGAAAAAGAAUGUGUGUGAAAGUUGACUGUGUACUUCCCGACCUAGAUACAACAUUUCAUCUAAAAAUAAAACCACUGGUAAAGAGCCUAAUGAAAAGAACAGACAAUGGUGACGAGAUGUGGAGGUGUGGGUGAGAGGCUGUUAGUAGAGUAAUAUGGUGUACUGUAUACUAGCUCCUUUAAUAUUAUAAUGCACAUUCAUGUUGCUUACUUGGUUAAAUGGAUUACAACGUGUUUAUAAUUCUGAAAUAAGACGCUAUACAGUCUCUGGGAUAUGAAGGCUUCUGUGACAUCUAUCAGUAACAAUAUCAGUGUAGUCAGUGUCAUGAUUACCAGCAGCGCAGGCAGGUCAAUCACACUGGCGCCAGUAAUGCCCUUUAUUAUGGCCUAUGGUGACUGGAUGGGACACGCAAAUACAGUUUCAAAUAGUUGCACACACAAAAAUUAUACAAACGGACAUAAAACACAGGCUCUAAAAUACAGGGACGUGGCUAAAAUAAGCCUUCACUUGUAGACAAAAACUCUUUGUGUUUUGGUAGUGACAUGAUUUUUUUAUUUAAAAAUAAAGGAAAUUAAAAGAUCUUAAAAACACUAAACAAACACAAGAAAAAAGGCAAGCAUUAUUUUCACAAAGUGUAAUUUAUGGGUUAGGGUUUGGGAUAGCCACCCCCCAACAGAAAGUACCAUGUAAAUAAUCAUUUCGUACAUAUUUAUUUAUUUAUUUACUAUCGUAUUACUACCUCUAUUAAGGUCUUGAAUUUAAAUAGAUCAUAGUACAAUUCUUGUAAAAAUCUAAGAUCUGAAAACUUCGUUGUUUAUUUAAAUUUUACAGUGCCACGGCAGUUUGACAAAUUCAGUAAAAUGGUCCACAUAACCUUCAUUGGACCCCUGAUAUUGCUACUUACACAAUUACUAUAGUACCUUUUAAGGCUCAUAUCCUACAUUUGUUUUUACAAUUAAUUUUAUUUAUGACAUUUUGUGUGCUUCUGAACCACAAAGAGAUAAUUCAUUUUUACCUGACCAUUUUCCAGCCGCUCUUUAUGCCUCAGAUUUGAAGUCAACUUGAAAUCAAACUAACCUUUUUUUUUUUUACCUUUUCACUGUCUCUGAUAAUAUUACAUACAAUUCAUAGUAUCAUCUAAUUUUCUGUAAUCUUUUGUCUCUGAAAUGUCUACUGAUUUCUGAUUAUGUUGCUGUGCACUAGGUACACUUUGUUUGUUGAGGUAUAACAAUGUAAAGGUGCUUAUGGUGCAUUUAUGUAUACAUACUGCAUAUUCACUUUCCCACAGGAAAUGUGCAUAUUUGUACUUAUACAUUUUAAAAGAGAAACAUAAAAGGAUGAAAAUCAGACUUAAAACAGGCUGAUAUGUGUAAAUCAUCUCUGUUUUCAGUGGCUGCCCUGUUUUGCACCUUAUUCAAAUAGAAGUCCAGGCUUAUAACUUCAGCAUGAGAUUACAUCUGUGAGAUACACAGAUUUUUGUGGCAUCACAACAAUAACUAAUUCGAGGUGGACUAUUUUUGUAGCUUAGUUUCCAAAUGUAGACCAUAUCAUCCCAAACAUUUUUAAAACCUAACAACGUUUACAUACUGCGUUAAACUCUUUCAUUUACAGAAUGUGAGGGUAAUUCAUUUUUUCAUUAUAGUUUUGUAUUGAUUUCAUGAUGUAAAAGAUGAAUUGAAGGUCUAUAAUUUGCCAAAACCCAUCUCACUAUGUUAGGAACUGUGCAAUGGCUUACCCCAUUCAAUUAAACUCUACACUAUUCCACUCUAUUUGUAUAGCAUCUUUUUUACAACGUUGUCACAAAGCCAGAAAUUCCAGAAAACCUGGUCCAGACCUUUAAUGACAAAGCUGAGGGCAGCAGUGGUAGAAAAAAAGGAUUCAAAAGGGCAACCCAUCCUUGUCUGAGCUGCACCACACAAUUCAAAUUCAAUUUCAUGAAUAAUAUAGGCAUUGCUAUAUACAACGUACCCACAAUCAAUGAACUGCAAUGUAUUAAUAUUGUAGCAUUCCACUACUAGCCACGCAAAGAGGCUUAUGGGAGGCCUGCGCACCCCAUAGAAUUGGCUUCUCUUAGUCCAAGGUAUAUGAAUGCGUUUAUUGUGAUAUUCUCUGUCAAGGGGUGGGUUUAGUAGUGCGGGUUUAAGAAGUGGGAGUGCAUGGCUAGUGGUGAUCUCCCUGCCAUUUUGUGUUUUGUUUGUGUCUUUCUGCUGGUGUUGUAAUAAAAGAGCAGUAUCUGCUGCA
Long non-coding RNA from Pygocentrus nattereri (red-bellied piranha), 3000 nucleotides. RefSeq lists it as uncharacterized. The transcript has 5 exons. The record is from RefSeq and is a predicted model, not a curated record. NCBI's taxonomy places the organism in Eukaryota, Metazoa, Chordata, Actinopteri, Characiformes, Serrasalmidae.